Molecule: long non-coding RNA, 1361 nt
Organism: Sinocyclocheilus anshuiensis
Lineage: Eukaryota; Metazoa; Chordata; Actinopteri; Cypriniformes; Cyprinidae
Exons: 2
Source: RefSeq, a predicted model, not a curated record
GUUAGCAUAAACUUUUCAAAAAACAAAAAAAUAAACUAUCAAUCCCAAACAUUUGAAAGGUAGUGUAGUUGUACAGAAAACUUCAAUUUCAUGUUCCGAACAAAACUGUAAAACUCAAAAUUGACUCAAUUUUAGGCUGUAUGAGUUACAAGUGUGAAGUUGUUUUAUCAGCUUUAAAACAAUGCAUACCAUACAAUCAAAGCCCUAUUUUGCACCUCAAUCAUGGAAGGGGCUGUAAACGUUUAAAGGAGGGAAAGAGGGGAAAGGUGGCAACCCCCUCCGAAGAAUCUGGCAGGAAUGUGAAAUACCAUAAAACAAGAGUCUUAAGGGUCAGAAUUUUUAUUAAUUUCACUGACAGAACCAUCACGGAGCAUUGAAAGGAAGGGAAUUCAGGAGUUCUCUGUGGAUUCACAUGUAUCACGAGAGGAAAUUUAGGGGGAAGGAGAGAAGGUGAACAAAGGGAGAAGGCGAGAAGAGGGAGAGGAGUGACAAAGGAAAAGAAACAAUAGAAAAAGGCACUUCUACUCUUUCAGUAACCAGUCUGAUGCACCAAUCUCUGGAAUUAAAACAAAAUAUAUUUGUACGAAAAACAGAAGAUGAGCAUUAUAUAAAAAGACUGCAACCCAAACACACCCAACAGAGAGAGCAUGUAAACAAAGCCGGUUUCUCUGUACAACACCGACCAGACUCGCUUCGGUCUGUGGGAGCGCCAGGAGUCUUGAAUGUAAAACGUGUGUGUAUGGGACAGUCUCAUCUACCUGUCUUCACUCACGUAAAAAAAAAAAAAAAAAAAAAAAAAAAGUGUAACAAUGGUCAGAAGAACCAGCACCAGCUUGUGGCAAGAGCCCAAAGCUUUCUGUAGGACACCAAGGGAAGACCACAGAGCCGGUACGCAGGACAUACACCAUGACUACGGUGUUCAAGCAAAUGAAAACAAGUAUUCAUUGUCUUUAAAAACUAUUCCUUUCAUAUGUUAAAAAAAAAGAAAAAAAAAAAAAAAAGUAAUAAAGGCAGUCACACCUUGAGAUCCCAGGCUUUUCUGUACCGACGCCGAGGCUCAAGAGGAUCACCAAGCAAAUAUUAGGUUGAGUAUUCAAGUAUGGAGCGAUUCAAGAGGCGGAGGAGGCCCCUCUGCGCCAGCGAGGGAGCAGGGCUUCUCUGUAGCUACGCCCGCUGUCGCCACACGCAGAGAGGGAGUGCUUUGCCUCCGCCGUGGUCUAGUAGAACAUCACAUAACAGCUACCAGAAGGUUUAAUCUGGAAUCACCAUCAAGACCGAAGGGGAACGGUUGCGUCGCCAGUCCUGCAGAACCACAACAGUUGGUAGCAGCUUCUGACUUCUCUGUAACACGUCAGAAAUAA